AAGUCGUAACAAGGUUUCCGUAGGUGAACCUGCGGAAGGAUCAUUAUCACGUAUCCACGUAUCACCAAAUGUGCAUUGUAAUUAUCUCCCUGUCGCUUCACAUGCAUUGGAACUUGUCACGCUUGGGAAUGGAGCCUUCGGGCUAGCGUGUCAUGCACACUUGCGGGCGCUUGCGCUCGCAGACAAUGGUAGUGAAUGCAACAGGCCCCUUCUCGCGUCUUCGUGACCAUUCUACUCGAUGACGCGGGAGAACUAUACACACCUAUUUCACCCAUUUUUGCUAGUUGACUUUUUUAAUGUUGGGCUUCACGGCUCACACGUUUAAUUAUUUAAACGAAAAAUACAACUCUUAGCAAUGGAUAUCUAGGUUCUC
This 373-nucleotide unclassified non-coding RNA is filed under the name fungal sp. RNAcentral's name for it is "partial internal transcribed spacer region". The stretch from base 1 to 46 matches the Rfam family "Eukaryotic small subunit ribosomal RNA", at positions 1786 to 1831 of the family's 1831-position model. Lineage: Eukaryota; Fungi. The record is from RNAcentral.